Molecule: ribosomal RNA, 394 nt
Filed under: uncultured bacterium
Lineage: Bacteria
Description: partial 16S ribosomal RNA
Rfam family: Bacterial small subunit ribosomal RNA
Source: RNAcentral
AUACGUAGGGAGCGAGCGUUGUCCGGAAUUACUGGGCGUAAAGGGCGCGUAGGCGGCGCUUCAAGUCGUCUGUCAAAUGGGAGGGCUUAACCCUUUUUCGCAGACGAAACUGGAGAGCUUGAGAAGCAGAGAGGCAAACAGAAUUCCUGGUGUAGCGGUGAAAUGCGUAGAUAUCAGGAAGAAUACCAGUGGCGAAGGCGGUUUGCUGGCUGCAUACUGACGCUGAAGCGCGAAAGCCAGGGGAGCGAACGGGAUUAGAUACCCCGGUAGUCCUGGCAGUAAACGAUUUAUGCUGGGUGUGAGACUAGCGAUAGUUUCGUGCCGAAGUUAACGCGAUAAGCAUACCGCCUGGGGAGUACGGUCGCAAGAUUGAAACUCAAAUGAAUUGGCGGGG